UGGGGAAUAUUGGACAAUGGGCGAAAGCCUGAUCCAGCCAUGCCGCGUGUGUGAAGAAGGCCUUUUGGUUGUAAAGCACUUUAAGUGGGGAGGAAAAGCUUGUGGUUAAUGCCCAUAAGCCCUGACGUUACCCACAGAAUAAGCACCGGCUAACUCUGUGCCAGCAGCCGCGGUAAUACAGAGGGUGCAAGCGUUAAUCGGAAUUACUGGGCGUAAAGCGCGCGUAGGUGGUUAUUUAAGUCAGAUGUGAAAGCCCCGGGCUUAACCUGGGAACUGCAUCUGAUACUGGAUAACUAGAGUAGGUGGGAGGGGAGUAGAAUUCCAGGUGUAGCGGUGAAAUGCGUAGAGAUCUGGAGGAAUACCGAUGGCGAAGGCAGCUCCCUGGCAUCAUACUGACACUGAGGUGCGAAAGCGUGGGUAGCAAACAGGAUUAGAUACCCUGGUAGUCCACGCCGUAAACGAUGUCUACCAGUCGUUGGGUCUUUUAAAGACUUAGUGACGCAGUUAACGCAAUAAGUAGACCGCCUGGGGAGUACGGCCGCAAGGUUA
This 549-nucleotide ribosomal RNA is filed under the name uncultured bacterium. RNAcentral describes it as "bacterial SSU rRNA". It matches the Rfam family "Bacterial small subunit ribosomal RNA", at positions 355 to 896 of the family's 1533-position model. The record is from RNAcentral.